Molecule: long non-coding RNA, 837 nt
Filed under: Cavia porcellus (domestic guinea pig)
Lineage: Eukaryota; Metazoa; Chordata; Mammalia; Rodentia; Caviidae
Description: lncRNA (ENSCPOG00000037987.1)
Source: RNAcentral
CCCCACUAGCGGCAGCGCGGGCCACGCCCUCUCCACUGUAGGGGCGUGGCAGCCCCGCCCCUGCGCUAGGCCUGGGGGCCUGGGGUGGGGGGAGGGAUCGCUGCCCGCGUGGAGACCCCUAGAAGACCCCGAAGCAGAAGAAAUCCCGCGUUCCAGGCAGGGUGGGAGGCCACGGUCUCAGGUACCCAAACCUGGAGCCUGGGGUGCGCUGUGGAUGGAGGGGGCCUGGCCGGCCGGCGGAGUAACAAAGUAACAGUCAGGAUCACAACAACAGAGCUUGUUUAUCUCAGUCUGGCUCCUGCAGGGCGCAGGGGGCAGGGUCCUCUCCCCCGGCCAGGUCAGCGAGCGGGUCCGUCCUGCCUGAUGCGCGCCGCGCUGUGUGCCGUCUCUACCCUCUCGGGUUCUCAUCUGCGAAGCGGCCCUGCCUGCAGCGGAGGCCAAGAGAAGGCUCCGGGGUCAGCCCUGCGCCCGGUCCCUGCCCCUCUGGCCUCUUCCAUCUCACGGUCCCUUUCCAGCGCCUCCAAAUUCCACGCCCUCAGAAUCCUGCGCCUGGCUCUCCCUGACACCUGCUGGUAGCCUCGGGAUGUCCCCGAUCAGGAGUGGUAAGCCCCAAACCGGGGCCUUCCUGCCAACGUCCGAGACUCAGAGAGAAGGUGACUCUGGUCUCACGGUCUGGAAAGACCCGCUGAGGAUGAGGAGGGUCGCCCUGGGUCUGGAGGCAGCCACGCAGAACCGGGCACAUAGUACCUGUGAGGAGCCUCAGGAGGCCCGCACAGGUGGGACAGGAUGCCGGACCCCAUUUUACAGGGAGAAACUCUGUCUCCCCCAGGGCUGUGG